Molecule: long non-coding RNA, 263 nt
Filed under: Olea europaea (common olive)
Lineage: Eukaryota; Viridiplantae; Streptophyta; Magnoliopsida; Lamiales; Oleaceae
Description: long non-coding RNA (OEUR_LNC012104)
Source: RNAcentral
CUUAGCCAACGGUCCCUUAACUAGCCUAGAUUUGGUAGCUCGUAAACUGGUAUUCAUGGAUAAGUUUAUAGUCUUCUUAAAGUUUCGCUGUAAAUCACGGGUAGUCCCAUAACUUUCUCGAAGCAAAUAUGUAAGGUCCUCAUAUGAAAGGUCAUCGUCAGACCAUAGCACAAUCUCAUUUAUGAUUGAGGCCCAAGGUUCUGGAACAGUUUCAUAUAACCUUUGUAUCUUCACCUUAUCCCUUAAGCUAUGGUGUAUCUCCC